Long non-coding RNA from Tarenaya hassleriana, 629 nucleotides. RefSeq lists it as uncharacterized. The transcript has 3 exons. NCBI's taxonomy places the organism in Eukaryota, Viridiplantae, Streptophyta, Magnoliopsida, Brassicales, Cleomaceae. The record is from RefSeq and is a predicted model, not a curated record.
GGAAUGCAAAAUGGAUUCCAGAAUGUCGGCGUUAACAGAUUCUUGCUCCUUGCGUCUGAGUGCGAAUACACGUUCAAUUCGAUUUUUUUAAGUAUGUGUACCAAAUGAUCCGUUGGGAAGGUUGUAGCCGCCGCAGCUGCUAGCCAAAGUCAAAGGAUUUUCUGCUUGAAUUGGUACGACCUGGAUAUCCUUCUCUUCUUUUCGUCCUUUGUUCUGUUAUUUUUUUUUUUCUCGGGUGUCUAUUUUUGCUUCUGUAUGAAUUGGACUCAAGUUUCGUUAAAGAAGACAUUGCUUCGAAAAGAAAAAAUGGUAUAUUUUGUGUUCUAUUGUAAACAAAAAAACAAUUUUCUCUUUGAAUUUGUAAAUUUUCUAACCAGACUUCUGUUUUGCGGCUGAGGAUGAAACAACCGAGCUGUUAAGACUUGCAGAUGGGCCAUCGUAACCUUAGCAUCGAAGGGUUGCAUUGCAAAACAUGGAAAAGAGGUUGGUUUAGAAUAGCCACCGUCAUUUUACAAAUAGCUUCAGCUUUUAUAGAGUUUCGCUCUAUUUUUCCAUUAGUUAGGAUGAUCAUUUUGGUUUCGGCUCAGAUUUAGUUUGGUUUUAUUAAACCAUUUGUUUUUUAUAUUGAA